Molecule: ribosomal RNA, 606 nt
Filed under: uncultured bacterium
Lineage: Bacteria
Description: bacterial SSU rRNA
Rfam family: Bacterial small subunit ribosomal RNA
Source: RNAcentral
UCGAACGUGAAAGACCUUCGGGUCGAGUAAAGUGGCGCACGGGUGAGUAACGCGUAGAUAAUCUGCCCCGCUGUCUGGGAUAACCUUUCGAAAGGAAGGCUAAUACCGGAUAAUACGAUUUCUUUCAAGGGAGUCGUUGAAAGUUGCGGCGCAACGGGAUGAGUCUGCGUCCCAUUAGCUAGUUGGUGGGGUAAAAGCCUACCAAGGCGACGAUGGGUAGCGGGUUUGAGAGGACGAUCCGCCACACUGGAACUGAGACACGGUCCAGACUCCUACGGGAGGCAGCAGUAGGGAAUUUUGCGCGAUGGGCGAAAGCCUGACGCAGCAAUGCCGCGUGAGUGAAGAAGGCCUUCGGGUCGUAAAGCUCUUUAUCUUCGGGAAGAUGAUGACGGUACCGAAGGAAGAAGCACCGGCUAACUACGUGCCAGCAGCCGCGGUAAUACGUAGGGUGCAAGCGUUGUUCGGAAUCACUGGGCGUAAAGGGCGUGUAGGCGGAACGAUUAGCGAGGGGUGAAAUCCCGGGGCUCACCCCGGAACUGCUCUUCGAACUGUCGAUCUAAANAAGGUCAGGGNCCGGCGGAAUUCCUGGAACAUCGNGGCNAAGGC